RNAcentral lists this long non-coding RNA (266 nucleotides) under Lathyrus oleraceus (garden pea). Its description in RNAcentral is "Pisum sativum (pea) long non-coding RNA (PSAT_LNC021603)". Lineage: Eukaryota; Viridiplantae; Streptophyta; Magnoliopsida; Fabales; Fabaceae. The record is from RNAcentral.
CAGGUUCACAUACAACCAUCCAAUUAGUUUUCUUUCCUAUUGACUUUCAUAAUUAACCUAAUAGGAAAUAGUCUGCAUAUGUAAGUUCAGUUAAUUUUCAUGACAGGUUUUCAACAUGUAACAAAUUAACCCCAACUCAAUUUGAUUUCAUCAUUUUUAGCAUUCAAAUUCAUAACUAAUACAAUGCACCCAUAAGAGAACAUGCCCUAACCAUUCAUUCAACAGCAGCUAUCUAGUUUCCUAAACCAUAAUAACUAAUCCAAUUU